RNAcentral lists this ribosomal RNA (253 nucleotides) under uncultured bacterium. RNAcentral describes it as "partial 16S ribosomal RNA". It matches the Rfam family "Bacterial small subunit ribosomal RNA", at positions 524 to 776 of the family's 1533-position model. The record is from RNAcentral.
UACGUAGGGGGCAAGCGUUGUCCGGAUUUAUUGGGCGUAAAGAGCGUGUAGGCGGCCAGACAGGUCCGUUGUGAAAACUCGAGGCUCAACCUCGAGAUGUCGAUGGAAACUGUCUGGCUAGAGUCCGGAAGAGGAGAAUGGAAUUCCUGGUGUAGCGGUGAAAUGCGCAGAUAUCAGGAAGAACACCCGUGGCGAAGGCGGUUCUCUGGGACGGUACUGACGCUGAGACGCGAAAGCGUGGGGAGCGAACAGG